RNAcentral lists this transfer RNA (30 nucleotides) under Callisaurus draconoides rhodostictus. RNAcentral's name for it is "partial tRNA-Thr". RNAcentral also lists the same sequence under 1 other name. Lineage: Eukaryota; Metazoa; Chordata; Lepidosauria; Squamata; Phrynosomatidae. The record is from RNAcentral.
AUCUCUGUAGCUUAAAUACUUAAAGCAUUG